UCCAGUUCUCAGGGCGGGGCGAAACUCCCCACCGGCGGUAACGGACCAAGUGUCCGAAGCCCGCGAGCGCCUGACACGGCAGACGUGUCAGGGUCAGCAGAUUCGGUGCAAUUCCGAAGCCGACGGUCAUAGUCCGGAUGAGAGAGAACGAGG
Molecule: non-coding RNA, 153 nt
Filed under: Brucella anthropi
Lineage: Bacteria; Pseudomonadati; Pseudomonadota; Alphaproteobacteria; Hyphomicrobiales; Brucellaceae
Also listed under: 1 other name
Description: Ochrobactrum anthropi FMN sequence
Rfam family: FMN riboswitch aptamer (RFN element)
About the family: The RFN element is a highly conserved domain that is found frequently in the 5'-untranslated regions of prokaryotic mRNAs that encode for flavin mononucleotide (FMN) biosynthesis and transport proteins.
Source: RNAcentral